Long non-coding RNA from Colias croceus (clouded yellow), 741 nucleotides. RefSeq lists it as uncharacterized. NCBI's taxonomy places the organism in Eukaryota, Metazoa, Arthropoda, Insecta, Lepidoptera, Pieridae. The record is from RefSeq and is a predicted model, not a curated record. The transcript is spliced from 3 exons.
GUUGUUUGUUUUGCCGUAGCGUUGUGCAAACUGCAAGCAAAGAGAUUUUAAACACUACGUUAAACUGUUUUGUUGUAAGUUUUUUUUGUUUGUUUCGACUCAGUGCGAUCCAAAUAUCUUGAGAAAGUGACUCUGAAUUGUGUGUUGCGAGAUAUUGACUCAGUUUAUGCGUUUUGAGAUAGUGACUGUACCUACCUACCCAUGUGUUUUUUGAGAAAUUGACUCUGUUUCUGUUUUUUGAGAAAGUGACUCUGUUUGACUGUUUGUGUACAUAUUUCGAGAAAGUGAAAGUGACUCUUAGAACGUGACCAUGUCGUCGGUAAUAAACGCCGAAAGUCGACGACGAUGUUAUAAGUGUGGACGUUCACCGGCUGAGGACUCACUAACUACAUUGUUUCGCUUUCCUAAACCCGGAAAAACGAACACAUUACGCUGUGAAUUAUGGGCAAAGUACUGCUUUCCUGAUAAACAAUACUGGUCACCAGAAUUCCAGAAUAAACUUCAUACAGAACAUAAAAUGCUCUGCAAUAGACAUUUUCCAAAGACAUCAUUUAGUGAUUACCCGGAAACUUCAAAGAAGCUUCACAGAUUUGCAGUACCUAGUGACAUCAAAGAGGCUGAACCUCAACCAGGUCCCUCAUAUUGUCAGGUGCAAGUUUUGAAAGAUGUGACCAACUGCUAUUCUGAACCAAAACCAGUACCAACCUAUAAAAAACCAAUACUUGAACCUCUACCUGGGAC